RNAcentral lists this ribosomal RNA (492 nucleotides) under uncultured bacterium. RNAcentral describes it as "partial 16S ribosomal RNA". It matches the Rfam family "Bacterial small subunit ribosomal RNA", at positions 29 to 507 of the family's 1533-position model. The record is from RNAcentral.
AGUGAACGCUGGCGGUAGGCCUAACACAUGCAAGUCGAACGGCAGCACAGUAAGAGCUUGCUCUUACGGGUGGCGAGUGGCGGACGGGUGAGGAAUACAUCGGAAUCUACUUUUUCGUGGGGGAUAACGUAGGGAGACUUACGCUAAUACCGCAUACGACCUACGGGUGAAAGCAGGGGAUCUUCGGACCUUGCGCGAUUGGAUGAGCCGAUGUCGGAUUAGCUAGUUGGCGGGGUAAAGGCCCACCAAGGCGACGAUCCGUAGCUGGUCUGAGAGGAUGAUCAGCCACACUGGAACUGAGACACGGUCCAGACUCCUACGGGAGGCAGCAGUGGGGAAUAUUGGACAAUGGGCGCAAGCCUGAUCCAGCCAUACCGCGUGGGUGAAGAAGGCCUUCGGGUUGUAAAGCCCUUUUGUUGGGAAAGAAAAGCAGCAGGUUAAUACCCCGCUGUUCUGACGGUACCCAAAGAAUAAGCACCGGCUAACUUCGUG